Molecule: ribosomal RNA, 396 nt
Filed under: uncultured bacterium
Lineage: Bacteria
Description: bacterial SSU rRNA
Rfam family: Bacterial small subunit ribosomal RNA
Source: RNAcentral
ACCUAAGAGAUUAGGCGUUCCCUUCGGGGACGGAAUGACAGGUGGUGCAUGGUUGUCGUCAGCUCGUGUCGUGAGAUGUUGGGUUAAGUCCCGCAACGAGCGCAACCCUUAUUGUCAGUUGCCAGCAUUUAGUUGGGCACUCUGGCAAGACUGCCGGUGACAAACCGGAGGAAGGUGGGGAUGACGUCAAAUCAUCAUGCCCCUUAUGACCUGGGCUACACACGUGCUACAAUGGACGAUACAACGAGUCGCUAGACCGCGAGGUUAAGCUAAUCUCUGAAAGUCGUUCUCAGUUCGGAUUGCAGGCUGCAACUCGACCUCAUGAAGUCGGAGUCGCUAGUAAUCGCAGAUCAGCAACGCUGCGGUGAAUACGUUCCCGGGUCUUGUACACACCGA